Molecule: unclassified non-coding RNA, 300 nt
Filed under: uncultured Diaporthe
Lineage: Eukaryota; Fungi; Ascomycota; Sordariomycetes; Diaporthales; Diaporthaceae
Description: sequence contains 5.8S rRNA gene, ITS2
Rfam family: 5.8S ribosomal RNA (bases 1-83)
Source: RNAcentral
AAUAGAGGGAGGGUGAGUCAUCGAAUCUUUGAACGCACAUUGCGCCCUCUGGUAUUCCGGAGGGCAUGCCUGUUCGAGCGUCAUUUCAACCCUCAAGCAUUGCUUGGUGUUGGGGCACCGCCUGUAAAAGGGCGGGCCCUGAAAUCUAGUGGCGAGCUCGCCAGGACCCCGAGCGUAGUAAUUAUAUUUCGUUCUGGAAGGCCCUGGCGGUGCCCUGCCGUUAAACCCCCAACUUCUGAAAAUUUGACCUCGGAUCAGGUAGGAAUACCCGCUGAACUUAAGCAUAUCAAUAAGCGGAGG